CGAGCGAUUUACUUCGGUAAAGAGCGGCGGACGGGUGAGUAACGCGCCCUUUAACCUGCCCUAUACACACGGAUAACAUACCGAAAGGUAUGCUAAUACGAGAUAAAGUACUUUUAUCGCAUGGUAGAAGUAUCAAAGCUUUUGCGGUACAGGAUGGACCCGCGUCUGAUUAGCUAGUUGGUAAGGUAACGGCUUACCAAGGCGACGAUCAGUAGCCGACCUGAGAGGGUGAUCGGCCACAUUGGAACUGAGACACGGUCCAAACUCCUACGGGAGGCAGCAGUGGGGAAUAUUGCACAAUGGGCGAAAGCCUGAUGCAGCAACGCCGCGUGAGCGAUGAAGGCCUUCGGGUCGUAAAGCUCUGUCCUCAAGGAAGAUAAUGACGGUACUUGAGGAGGAAGCCCCGGCUAACUACGUGCCAGCAGCCGCGGUAAUACGUAGGGGGCUAGCGUUAUCCGGAAUUACUGGGCGUAAAGGGUGCGUAGGUGGUUUCUUAAGUCAGAGGUGAAAGGCUACGGCUCAACCGUAGUAAGCCUUUGAAACUGGGGAACUUGAGUGCAGGAGAGGAGAGUGGAAUUCCUAGUGUAGCGGUGAAAUGCGUAGAUAUUAGGAGGAACACCAGUUGCGAAGGCGGCUCUCUGGACUGUAACUGACACUGAGGCACGAAAGCGUGGGGAGCAAACAGGAUUAGAUACCCUGGUAGUCCACGCCGUAAACGAUGAGUACUAGCUGUCGGAGGUUACCCCCUUCGGUGGCGCAGCUAACGCAUUAAGUACUCCGCCUGGGAAGUACGCUCGCAAGAGUGAAACUC
This 811-nucleotide ribosomal RNA is filed under the name uncultured bacterium. RNAcentral's name for it is "bacterial SSU rRNA". It matches the Rfam family "Bacterial small subunit ribosomal RNA", at positions 63 to 902 of the family's 1533-position model. The record is from RNAcentral.